CGGCAACAGCUCAAAUUUGAAAUCUGGCCCCGGGCCCGAGUUGUAAUUUGCAGAGGAUGCUUUUGGCGCGGCGCCUUCCGAGUUCCCUGGAACGGGACGCCAUAGAGGGUGAGAGCCCCGUCUGGUCGGACGCCUAGCCUCUGUAAAGCUCCUUCGAC
RNAcentral lists this ribosomal RNA (158 nucleotides) under Purpureocillium lilacinum. RNAcentral describes it as "partial large subunit ribosomal RNA". It matches the Rfam family "Eukaryotic large subunit ribosomal RNA", at positions 99 to 261 of the family's 3401-position model. Lineage: Eukaryota; Fungi; Ascomycota; Sordariomycetes; Hypocreales; Ophiocordycipitaceae. The record is from RNAcentral.